CCACUUUCUUUAUUUGUCUUCACCGUUUGGAAAGAAAGGGGGAAUGGAGUUUUAGUUUUCUUCCAUAUUUGUUCUGCUGGAAAACCGAUUGGAAGAAGGCUUGGUGUCACAUGCAUGCAGGAAAAACUAUGAUUUUAGCUAGUUAGGUAGCUGAAAUUUCAAGUAACUCGGUAAUCCAGUUAAGCUUUUCCUUGAUCAUAGCUCUUCUUUGCUUUGUUUUUUUGGAAAGAAAAAGAAUAUGGGAGGAGAGUAGAAUCAAUUAUUAAGAUGAUAAAAUCAAGAGCUUGAAGAGGGAAGAAAAUCAUCUUGUUAUUGUGCAACUGCAUGGAAUGUUAAUGCAUGAAUGUUCUAAAUGUUGUGUUGGGAAUUUGUUGUUAGUAUUGUUAUAAUUAAACGAAGGUUUAUUUUGCUAGUCGAAGAAGAAGAAGAGGGCUGCAACAAAAAGAAAAAUGGAGACGGUAGAAGGUAGGAGAAGCGGGAAAAUCUUGGUAAGCUUGUUGGUUCUUUAAAUUUUUCUUUACGAUAUUAACCGUGAAAAUUUUCAAGUUUGAUUUGUUGUGGUUUUAUUUAAGACUACUAAUGUCCAAAUUAGGACACUUGAUAUUGAUUGAAUUGAUGAGGAUUAAAUUCGUUCUUUGAUGUCUGAAUGUUAAAUAAUGCUUGCUGUCCAGAUUGAAAUUAUACUAGAAGGUUGAACAUUUGUUGUUCAAAUGGAAUUUAAGGUUUUCCUUUAUGUUAUCAAAAUAUUAUGUAUUAAUGCUAUCCAUUUCAAAGUAUCUUAUUGUUGUCCAUAUUGAGAUCUUAGUCCAAUAUGACUAUGUGAACUUCUAAUAUCGUCUGAAAUUACGAAAUGUUCCUUGCAUCGACCACAUUGCUUCCAAAUUAUUUACUGCAAAUUACCGAUAGAAUUGUUCCCAAAAUAGUUGCUACCCACUACUUAUACCAGCUGCCAUCUGAUCCAAUUUCAAUCACCAAUUAGCCUCCAAACAGCUGGUUAAACAACCUUUAAUGUGUUUUAAAUAAGCUGCUUCAUUGACCUGCUUGAUUGCUUUCCAAUUCACUACUGAUCGAACAAGUAUUUGUUGCCCACUACACUGACCAUUGCUUCAAAAAGGCUGUUGGUUAGCAAAAUUUCCUCCACCGACCAGCCUUGAUAUAGUGGCUACUAAUUUCAGUUCCUUCCUAACUGAUUUCUCAAUUAUUUGUUGCUAUUAGCUGCUUCAAAUUGAUGUUGUAAUUUCAUCGAAUUUGUUGCCCCAAAUGCUUGAAAUUGUUGUUGGAUAUUAAUUUUACUGGGAAUAGAUGAAAAUUUUUUGUAGAUUAAAACGCAUUAAUUGUAAUGAAAAUGAUAACUUAAAUCUAAUUUUAAUAAAUUUAUUUGUUUUCUUUAUAUUGAAGCGAAGGUGUCUAAUAAAUAGUUGAAAUUGAUGUUCAUUGUGAAUUGAAGGGUUUUAAGCAAUGAAUGUUUAGAAUUACGGUUUGGGAUUUGCUAAUUUCUUAUUUAUCUUAUACUUUUGCUAUAUCACUUGCUUAGGUGAUUGAGAUACGUUGUUGAUUGUUGAUUGGAUUGGGAUUUGCUAAUUUCUUAUUUAUCUUAUACUUUUGCUAUAUCACUUGCUUAAGUGAUUGAGAUACGUUGUUGAUUGUUGAUUUAUGUCAAUUAUUAAUGAUAUGCUAUGUAUGAAAUAUUUAUUGAUUUGUUUGAAAUAUGUUAAAUGAAUAUAUAUUAUUUAAUUUUUUUUUAUUUUUAAAUAAACAAAUGAAUUGUUUCCGGGAUUUGGUAGGCUAAUUCGUGCUUUGCACGCAUCAGAGUAUCAUUAAAUGUUUUAUUGCAUCAACGUGCUUUGCACAGUCAUGGGCUUUGAAUAGGUAUCCGUAUGGUUGAUGUGAUUUUCCUUAUAAUGUUACUUGGGCUCAAUUGCUUAAAAGUUUGAGAGACUAAUGGAUUGAAGAAUAAUAGUCUAAAAGUUUAAAAUAAUUAUUGAAUGAAAUGUUGAUUCUUGUAAUGAAAGACUAAAUUGUAUAAAAUGGAAAAUAGUGUAUUUUGAUGCAAGUAUGAAGUUGACUUUGUAUUAGAUUGAAAAAUGUUAUGUUAUGAGAUGACUUGUUGAAUUGAGUUAUGAAUUUUGGUUGUUGGCAUAUAAUUGAAAUUCUAUGGAAAACUUGUUACUUAGUAAAUGUGCAAGUAAUGCUUUAGUUUAUCUGAUGAGGUACUAGGUGUCAAUUAUAUUCUUCGAUUUACCUGGUGAGGCAUUGGGUGCCAAUUAAAUUGACAAGCGCUGAGCCCAGUUGGAUUACUUCGACUUGUCUGAUGAGACACUAGUUCCCAAAUGUAUCAAUGAGCGUUAGGUGUAAGUUAUUCACUUCGAAAGACUAGUAUGAAAUUUGGAGUAUGGUAUGCUAUUACGGUAUAAAUAAUACAUUUGGUAUAAUGUUAUGUUUUAAUAAAACCUUGAAAGUUCUCUUAAAAUCUUAUCGCAUUGAUAUUGCUUAUAAUGAUGUCUUUGUAUAGAUUACUCAACGUUCAAUUGUUUCUAUACACAGGUUAGAUUAAGUACGUGAUCCUAUAUAUCGAUUUCAGCAUCCAGUGAAGAUCUCGGACUCAAUAAUGAUGGUGAACUUCCUUGUUAGUCAAUUGGCAUGUACCUAGGGGUGUCAUUUUGUAUAUUGUAUAUGAUUUAUUUUGGUUGAUCACAAGUUGAACUUAUAUGGCGUUUGACUUUGAAUACUAUAAAGAGUGUAUAAAAGUGUGAAUGAUGGCAUUAUGAUAAUUUAUGAUUGAAGCAUUUGGAUGGAAAAUUUUGAAUGUGGAUAAUGGAAUUAAGGU
RNAcentral lists this long non-coding RNA (2827 nucleotides) under Gossypium barbadense (sea-island cotton). RNAcentral's name for it is "long non-coding RNA (GBAR_LNC004657)". The record is from RNAcentral. Lineage: Eukaryota; Viridiplantae; Streptophyta; Magnoliopsida; Malvales; Malvaceae.